Molecule: unclassified non-coding RNA, 308 nt
Filed under: Hevea brasiliensis (rubber tree)
Lineage: Eukaryota; Viridiplantae; Streptophyta; Magnoliopsida; Malpighiales; Euphorbiaceae
Source: RNAcentral
AGAGAAUGAAUUUUUUUUUUUUUUGGGUUCUGAACGAGAGAAUGAAUUUUAAUGGUUAUAAGGCAUUCGAAAGGAAUAAACAUCAUAUCUCCUGUUCUGGUAUGUUCUACAUUUAGAAGGAUCCACUGUGAAUUGAAUAAUUAAUAUUCCUAUUCACAUUCAAAAUGAGCAUUGUUCCUUUUCUUCCUGGAUAGCCUGAUGGUUUCUCUGCAUUAUUCUUGUAAAUUAUGAACUUAAUUUGCGUAUAUUUUAUAAUUGUAUUAGGCAGCUACUGCUAAUGACUGGGGAUACUGAAAUGAAUAAAGUUG